AGUGAACGCUGGCGGUAGGCCUAACACAUGCAAGUCGAACGGCAGCACAGUAAGAGCUUGCUCUUACGGGUGGCGAGUGGCGGACGGGUGAGGAAUACAUCGGAAUCUACUUUUUCGUGGGGGAUAACGUAGGGAAACUUACGCUAAUACCGCAUACGACCUACGGGCGAAAGCAGGGGAUCUUCGGACCUUGCGCGAUUGAAUGAGCCGAUGUCGGAUUAGCUAGUUGGCGGGGUAAAGGCCCACCAAGGCGACGAUCCGUAGCUGGUCUGAGAGGAUGGUCAGCCACACUGGAACUGAGACACGGUCCAGACUCCUACGGGAGGCAGCAGUGGGGAAUAUUGGACAAUGGGCGCAAGCCUGAUCCAGCCAUACCGCGUGGGUGAAGAAGGCCUUCGGGUUGUAAAGCCCUUUUGUUGGGAAAGAAAAGCAGCAGGUUAAUACCCCGCUGUUCUGACGGUACCCAAAGAAUAAGCACCGGCUAACUUCGUG
This 492-nucleotide ribosomal RNA is filed under the name uncultured bacterium. RNAcentral describes it as "partial 16S ribosomal RNA". It matches the Rfam family "Bacterial small subunit ribosomal RNA", at positions 29 to 507 of the family's 1533-position model. The record is from RNAcentral.